GACGAACGCUGGCGGCGUGCUUAACACAUGCAAGUCGAACGGUGAACCUCUUCGGAGGGGAUCAGUGGCGAACGGGUGAGUAACACGUGGGCAACCUGCCCCCGGCUCUGGGAUAACUCCAAGAAAUUGGGGCUAAUACCGGAUGUUCACCGCUUCCCGCAUGGGUGGUGGUGGAAAGGGUUUCCGGCGGGGGAUGGGCCCGCGGCCUAUCAGCUUGUUGGUGGGGUAGUGGCCUACCAAGGCGACGACGGGUAGCCGGCCUGAGAGGGUGACCGGCCACACUGGGACUGAGACACGGCCCAGACUCCUACGGGAGGCAGCAGUGGGGAAUAUUGCGCAAUGGGCGGAAGCCUGACGCAGCGACGCCGCGUGGGGGAUGACGGCCUUCGGGUUGUAAACCUCUUUCAGCAGGGACGAAGCGCAAGUGACGGUACCUGCAGAAGAAGCACCGGCCAACUACGUG
Molecule: ribosomal RNA, 463 nt
Filed under: uncultured bacterium
Lineage: Bacteria
Description: partial 16S ribosomal RNA
Rfam family: Bacterial small subunit ribosomal RNA
Source: RNAcentral